GACGAACGCUGGCGGCGUGCUUAACACAUGCAAGUCGAACGGAAAGGCCCUGCUUUUGUGGGGUGCUCGAGUGGCGAACGGGUGAGUAACACGUGAGUAACCUGCCCUUGACUUUGGGAUAACUUCAGGAAACUGGGGCUAAUACCGGAUAGGAGCUCCUGCUGCAUGGUGGGGGUUGGAAAGUUUCGGCGGUUGGGGAUGGACUCGCGGCUUAUCAGCUUGUUGGUGGGGUAGUGGCUUACCAAGGCUUUGACGGGUAGCCGGCCUGAGGGGGUGACCGGUCACAUUGGGACUGAGAUACGGCCCAGACUCCUACGGGAGGCAGCAGUGGGGAAUAUUGCACAAUGGGCGGAAGCCUGAUGCAGCAACGCCGCGUGCGGGAUGACGGCCUUCGGGUUGUAAACCGCUUUCGCCUGUGACGAAGCGUGAGUGACGGUAAUGGGUAAAGAAGCACCGGCUAACUACGUG
Molecule: ribosomal RNA, 468 nt
Filed under: uncultured bacterium
Lineage: Bacteria
Description: partial 16S ribosomal RNA
Rfam family: Bacterial small subunit ribosomal RNA
Source: RNAcentral